UUCAUUAAAAAUAUAUUGUCAAUCUGGCUCAACGCUACAUGUUUUAAAGCAUCGUAACGUUGCUAAUACACAGAGAUAUCAUGCUCGCUUUACCUGAAGCACGAGAUGCACGGACUUCCCACAUCUAUGUUAAA
Long non-coding RNA from Haliotis rubra (blacklip abalone), 134 nucleotides. RefSeq lists it as uncharacterized. Lineage: Eukaryota; Metazoa; Mollusca; Gastropoda; Lepetellida; Haliotidae. The transcript has 3 exons. The record is from RefSeq and is a predicted model, not a curated record.